RNAcentral lists this ribosomal RNA (253 nucleotides) under uncultured bacterium. RNAcentral's name for it is "partial 16S ribosomal RNA". It matches the Rfam family "Bacterial small subunit ribosomal RNA", at positions 524 to 776 of the family's 1533-position model. The record is from RNAcentral.
UACGUAGGGUGCGAGCGUUGUCCGGAAUUACUGGGCGUAAAGAGCUCGUAGGUGGUUUGUCGCGUUGUUCGUGAAAACUCACAGCUUAACUGUGGGCGUGCGGGCGAUACGGGCAGACUGGAGUACUGCAGGGGAGACUGGAAUUCCUGGUGUAGCGGUGGAAUGCGCAGAUAUCAGGAGGAACACCGGUGGCGAAGGCGGGUCUCUGGGCAGUAACUGACGCUGAGGAGCGAAAGCGUGGGGGGCAAACAGG